This is a non-coding RNA of Camellia sinensis, 2942 nucleotides long. NCBI's taxonomy places the organism in Eukaryota, Viridiplantae, Streptophyta, Magnoliopsida, Ericales, Theaceae. The record is from RefSeq and is a predicted model, not a curated record.
UCAUCGAAAGAAAAAGGUAGAACUUUAAUCAUGAAAUCUCGACGAGAUUAAAAUUUAAUGAGUACAUGCAUACACACACACAGACUCUCUUGACAUUAACUUUCUUGAAUUCCUCUCUCUAGGGAUCUAUAUGGAAAAAAAUGGAAGAGCAGAAGGGAGUUAAAAUCGUUUUUCCAUCAACGAAGAAGCAGGAUGCUAUCAGUAUCCACUUAUUCUUUAUAAGUUAUUUUCCACUUCUUCUUGACCACUACCAAAUCUAUAUGUAAUAUUAUGGCAUUUAAAUUUAAAGUCAAUCUAAAAACCACAUGAACAUGUAUAAUGAAGCUGCUAUACACUAACAACCCCAUUACAGUUUCCUCUGUUUCCAAAGAAGCUGCUAAGCACCUCACUGGCCCAUGAUGGCCAUCUAUAAUUGCAAGACAUGAAUGGAAUGUAUUCCCUUCCUCUCUCCUCCAUACCCUUAUAAUUGCAUCCCCAGAACCACUGAGGACCAAGUCUUCUAUGGCUACUAAGCAAAGAACAGAGAAAUGCUGACCUUGUAAAAAUCCUCCAUGGUUGAAUCUACCGGAUGUCUUCUCCUUCUCCCAAAAGUUUAUGAGCCCAUCUGAGGAGCCAGAGUAGAGGAAACAAUCACUUAAUGAAUAGCUCAAUGCCAAGGCAUUAAUUGGUAGGAGUGAUAUUAAUUAUAGUUUUAAACACACUAAAGACAAUGUAGUAGUCAUUUCAUCUAGAGAGGUUUAAGAGACAUGAUAGUGAUGAGUGAUAGAGAGAGAAAUAAAUAUUUUUGUCAUGAGAAUUCACUGGUGAAGGACUUGGACUGGUACAGCAGAAACUCUGAAAGCUAAGAAAUUCAUUUUAAAAAAAACACAGUUGGAAACCAUUUCUUCCAAAAAUAUAUAUAAUUAUGUAUAAAAUAUAAUUUGAGAGAGUGUAGGACACAAUUAACUUCAUUUGGAGGGUUAUUUGACCCAAAAUAAAUAAAUAAAUAAAUAAAUAAUCAUCUAGCUAGCAUGUGAAAGAAUUGUCCUGUAUGUAACUUUGUCUUGAUUUGUAGUAUUAUAUGGUGAAGUUUCGUCUUCAAUUCAAGCAAGUGUUCUUCAUAGUUAUUAAUGUGGAUAGCUAUGAUUGUGAUUGUGAUUGUGAUUGUGAUUGUGAUUGUGAUUCGUUAACUAAUAUGAUUGUGAUUGUGGUUGUGAUUGUGAUACCCGAUCCACCGGCAUCAUGGCAUCCACCAGGCAGUCUUCCUACCACAUCACGUAGUGGUAGUACAUCACAUGGCUCAGUUUUAGCUGGUUCUAGCUCAAGUCAAGCCAUACAAAACUAGACAAGGGGUCUCACAUAUGUGCAUGGUCAAUGGGGUACUUCAGACGAUGGUGUUUUAAAACUUGUUUCAAAUGAGUUGAGUCAAGUAGUUGAAGGAUACACAACCCUUGCUUCACAUUUGGGCGUUUUGGCAUGAGAUAGGAGUCUUGCACCACUCACUUUUACGACUUGGCUUUAUGUCCCACAACAAAAUAAAGAUAACAUAUGGAGGGAGAUAAAGGCUCAUACGAAUGCAGAUGAUUCCAUGAAGAGAACAAUAAUGACUUCAUUUGGAAAGAAAUUGAGAGAUUGGAAAAGUCGAGUGAAAAAUAUAGGAUACACACCCUUCAAGAAUGAUGCAGAAAGGUUGGCUCAUCGACCGGAUAGAGUACAUGAGGAUCAGUGGCGGGCCUUGGUCUACUAUUGGGGCACUCAGAGUGCAUCGAAAUCAAGCAAGAAGAAUAGAAAAAUUUGGAAGAAGAAGACACUACAUCAUAGAACAGGUCGAAAGCCUUUCUUAGUAGUUCGAGUGGAGGAGACAAAAAAGAACAAUGGGGUUCCUGCUAGUCAGCCACAGGUGUGGAUGGCCGCAUACAUGAAAGAUGGUACUUCCAAUAGUGAUUUAGUUAAUGAAGUUAUGGUUCUACUUUAUUGGACUUUUAAUAUGAUUUAUAUUGGAUGCUAAUUAUUGAAUUCAAAAUUGCAAACUCAAAUGAAUGAGCGGACGGAGCACAUGGAGGGAUCUUCUUCGGACCUUGUUGCAUUAGAUGAACAGACUUUCACACAAGUUAUGGGGCCGGAGCGACCUGGUCGUGUUCAGACGUUUGGAUUGGGACCAUCCCCCACUGAUGUUUUUGGAGGUAGAUAUAGGCAGUCACAAGAGCAGAAUAAUAUCUUCCAAACUUGAGUUCAAGAACAAGUUGAAGAGCAACUUCAACAGUAUCAAAUGCAAUUAGAGUCGAAGAUGAAUGAUGUAAUGGAGAAACAAAUUCAGGCUAUACGCGCAGAUUUUCAGUCACGAAUUGAGAUUUUGGAAUCUCAAUUGCAAGCUGCCGGCAUGCCCGUUGCACCAGUUGUUGCACCUUCGAACCCAUUACAUAGGCAGCAGGUUGUGGAUUCACUUAGUAGUCAUCCCACUGUUCGGCCAAUGUCACAUCAGCAACAAUCUCAUGGAUUUUCAUCCCAAGAGGUUCUCCUUUCAAAGAAAGAGAAGAAGAAGAAGAAGAAGAAGAAGAAGAAGAACUAACAAGGUGUUGUUUUGAGCUCUUUUUGGGUUUAUCCUCUAAUGUAGAGGUUGCUUUCAUGAAUCUCCAUGUUGAGUGGAGAUAUGGGUUGUGUGAAGACUUCUGUUUGUCUUGAUGGUAUGUUCUUAAAAUACUUGAACUCGUCAUUGGGAGGCUUCCCUAUGUCUGUACGUAUAACAACUUAACAAGCAAAAUCAUUUGGUUGGAAUCACUAAAUAUUAUCUUUUAGCGAGGGUUUUCCUCGUCUUUUCUUUUGUAAAGUUGCAUAUUGUAUGAUUCUACCUGUGGUUUAAGUUCAUCAAAGCACUGCUAUUCUGAUCAAGAAAAUUAAGUGAACUUUAAACUAGUUCUUGUAAUUCUUCACCCCUUUCUUAGGAGUAUAUUGUUAAAUUGUCA